RNAcentral lists this long non-coding RNA (2278 nucleotides) under Cyanistes caeruleus (blue tit). RNAcentral's name for it is "lncRNA (ENSCCEG00000012637.1)". The record is from RNAcentral. Lineage: Eukaryota; Metazoa; Chordata; Aves; Passeriformes; Paridae.
GAUUUUUUAAAUUUUUUGGUUUUGUUUUUGUUUUUUUCUUUUUUAAUCUUUUCUUUAAAUCAGGCCGAGGCAAACACGAUUAUUCCUGUGGUUUUGGUAUCCCAAAAUAGCCUUUUUCCUUCCCUAUCCACAGGGAAACGCUGCAGGUGUUGUGUCAUCCUGAUGGGUUUUUUUUUUUCCAGCAAAACUCAGCAGAAAAGAAUGGGAAAAGAAACUGGGAAACUGGGGAAACUCAUCCAGCUGGAUUUCUAUCCCGAUAUCAGGAUAGGUAGAAAGAAGCAUUUUGAUCCCUGAACCUGCCUGUUCCAAGAGGUUUGGGCUCUGCUUUCCAUGUUCUUCUCCACAGAAAGGAAGGAAAAGGAUGAAAACAUGAUUGGAGGAAUGAAGUCAGGCUCAGGAACACUUCCAGGCUCAUUCCCAAAGGAUGGAAGGUGAAAAGGAAAAUAGGGAAGAGCCAGCAGCGCUGCUUCCCAUAUUCCUCUGGGAACACCUGCAGUGGAUGAGGAGGCCAGAGGGACGUCACAAGGUGAGCGUUCACAUUGCGCCGACCUCCAGAGCUGCUCUCCCGUGCCAUGAGGAAUCCAAGCUGGAGCCCCAGCACCUUCCCCCUCACCUUGCAGGAUUUUCCCUGUCCCAGCAUUCCGGCUCCAGCAGGAAAAGUACCAGGCAAGCCGGCUCCUCCGGAGCAGACAGAAUUCCAUCGGAAAUGCAAGGACAAGCAUUAAUCCUGAGGCUCCAUGGAGCCCGGCUCUGCCAAGGAGCAGGGAGCAGCUUCCCAGCAGGAUUCCUACUCCAGCCCCUCUGUCCCUGUUCACCAUCCCUUUCCCAGCCUCAGAAAUGGAGGAAAAAGCAGGAACCCCCCUUGUAUCCAGCUUUCCAAGGAAACAAAACCCAUCCCACAACGGGGGUGCUGCCCAGAAGAGUUUCACAUCCAAAAUCUGGGAAUAAAUGCAUAGAUGUGAAGAUGAUUCCUGGCAGGUUUGGAAGCACCAAAACCACAUCAGGGAGCUUGGAUCCCACCAGGAUGUCCCAAUUUCCUGGGAACAGUUCCUCCUUUCCUUGCGCCAUCCCCAUUCCCAGGCCUUUCCGACCCUUGGGGAAAGGCCAUGGAUGCCAAGCUCAGCUGGGAAAGGGAAAAAAAUGGGGAGCAAGGAGCAGCUGAUGGAUCAGCUGAGCUGCUGCCAGCAAUUUCCUGCUGGGAAAAUCCAUCCAUCAGCCUGGCACGAGGAGAGGAGCCACCGGCAGCUGGAGCCGCCAGCUGUGGAGCACAUCUGGCACCAGGGCAGGGGGGACAUCCCUGUCCCAGAAAACCCCCGGCAUUAUCCUGAUUUCCAGGAAAAAGCACCUGUUUGGGGAAUGGAGCUACAGUGAAGGAUUGCAGCUGGUGCAAAGAUCCCACCUCGGGAUGGGCAUUGGGAUGACAAUGGGAUGAGAUGGGAUUUUUCACCCCAGAUCCCAACAGAUCCAACCCAGGGAUGAGGAGGGACAGGGAUGUCACACACUGGGAUCCACUGGUGGCUCAAGGAAUCCUGGAUUACCCGCAGGGUUUGGGAAUGGUUUUCCCAAUGCAGCUCCCAGGGCUGAGUGAGACCUUUUGAGCCUUGUCUGUCCCUAUGGAUCAUGGAAUAUUACUGGGGACAUGGAAACGCCACCCUGGGGCACAUCCUUAUCCUGGCAGUGGUUUUCCAGACCCUUUUUCCCCUGAGGCUCACCAGAUCCUGCUGAAGAAUCCCAGAGAGAGCUCUGGGAUUCCUCUUCUCACACUUUUCUUGUUCUUUGCUUUCCCCUCUCUUCCCGACACUGCAGUGGGAUCCCGUUUUCACAUCUCCCUGGAUAACCUCCAAGGGACACAUCCGGAGCUGGACGGGCUUGGAAUGAGCACUUUGGAAUUCCCACCCAGGCAGCAUUUGGAGGAAAACCCCUCCAAUUCCCUGUGUGUGCUCAGUCUUUACUUCCUAGGAUGAGCUUUUCCUGCAGGAGUGGGGCUGGAUCCGACUCCGAGUGCGCAAAUUCCCUGGAAAAGUGCUGUGUGUGCAAAUCCAUGUGCAGAUGGUCCCUGCAGCCGUCUGGUGCCUCACAGAGCGUUUUUAGGGAUGCAUGGAUGCCCCACGGAGGGAUGCAGGAGCUACGGAAUGUGCUCCUUUAAGAGGGAACAGGGAUUUUGUUUGGAAGAGGAGUUAGCAAUUUGGAGCAUGGAAUGUUAAGGCUGCAGUGGGAAUUGCUCCCUGAUACUGAACAGGUAAAUAAAGCUUGGAAAAAGCCUCUGGAAAUGGGCUGU